Molecule: ribosomal RNA, 198 nt
Filed under: Klebsiella aerogenes
Lineage: Bacteria; Pseudomonadati; Pseudomonadota; Gammaproteobacteria; Enterobacterales; Enterobacteriaceae
Also listed under: 3 other names
Description: partial 16S ribosomal RNA
Rfam family: Bacterial small subunit ribosomal RNA
Source: RNAcentral
AAAUUGAAGAGUUUGAUCAUGGCUCAGAUUGAACGCUGGCGGCAGGCCUAACACAUGCAAGUCGAGCGGUAGCACAGAGAGCUUGCUCUCGGGUGACGAGCGGCGGACGGGUGAGUAAUGUCUGGGAAACUGCCUGAUGGAGGGGGAUAACUACUGGAAACGGUAGCUAAUACCGCAUAACGUCGCAAGACCAAAGUG